GAGACUUUUAAUUACCAGUCUUUCCUGAGUUUAUGUAGCUAUUGCAAGUCUUUGCUUAGAGAAAAUAUUCUUUUAAUCCCCUUUUCCUAAAGUGAGGGUGUUGAAAUAGGAGUUGGCACACAUAAAUAGAAGAGAAACUUCCCAGAGGGGACUGAUUAUCUGCAAGAUGUCCGGAGGCUGAAAUUUCCUUUGUGUUAAAAGCAUUAUGAUAGAGAAGCUCCCAGAGCUUACACCCGGGGCGCCUGACUGGCUGAAAAAAUUUGCUGAUGGUGACUGGCUUGAAGCGUUAAGUAUCAUGUAGUCUCUGAAGGAAACUGACACGGAAGUGGCGUCCUCAGGUUUGAUGCUGGUGGCACUCUAGCUACAUAUUAAGGAUGAAUCUACUGUAGCAAAGAGAAUUAUACUUCAUUAAAUUGCUUUUGGGUGCAACUCAGUCAUUUUUGAGGAAAAACAAAACCCAACAUAGCUGCUUCUUUUCUUCUUUGGAGGCACAGAUAUGAAAGUGGAGGGUCCCUUCCCUAACCCUGAAUAUCCUUUGAGUGUACCACCGUAAAAGGCCUGAAUCAGUCGUGGAAAGAUUCAUUCAGAAAUGAAGAAAUCAGAGUGUGGAUUACUCAUAAGAAGCAGAAUUAGAUGUCUGGGUGUCUUUGAUGCAUCACUCUUGCUGUGACAGAUUCUUCAUAAACAUAGCAAACUGAAUAUGAUACUGUAAAUAACCUAAAGAAAUUAUGCUUAUAAAUGUGCAUCUGCUGUGGUCUUGGCUCAUCCUUAUUUUGGAUGCUAAAACAUCCCCUGUAGUGUAGAGCUUUUCUUGCAGUUCUAUUCUUGGACUACUAGAGGUUGUCUCUUACAGAUUAAAGGUACAGAAAUUAUAAAACCAUUAUUUGCCUUAGUCUGAUCGUUCAUGCAACAGCAUAGGCGGUUUUUGGAUUUAUCAGUAUGACACUGGACUGACAUAAACUAGUAGUGGGAAAGUAGUGUGAAGUCUUAAUUGAAAAUGUCUCUUAAAUGAGUCCACACACUGCUAGUAGUAACUGGAGGAGGACAAGGUUGUGACCUUGUGCUGAUUUCAUCGCGUUGCCCCACCCCAAAUGCAGCUGUGCAAUGGGUGACACCAUAGCACUGCACUAGUCCAAAUGAAACAGAGCAGUGCCAAUCCUUCCACCAACCCCCAAGUUUUCUGUACAAGUUUUAGGACCUGCUUGCAGGGCUGGGUGCCAGUUAACUGAAGCUCACCCAGAAUUGCCUUCAUUAAAUCCACAGUGAAAUGAAAAUAUAUUACAAAGGUAAAAAAUGAAUAAAUAUGAUACUUAAAUUGAAAUAGUGAAAAAUAUUGCGUGUUGAACCAGCAAGUCAUAAACCACCCCUUUCGCUGCUGCUUAAGUUUAUAAAGUUAUGCUGCAUUUGGAGUUAGAUUUGCAUAACCCUAAAACUCCAAAUGUGAUGCGAUAGUGUAAGGAGUUUUUCAGAUCUUUCUAACACUCUGCCUUUUUGGAAGUGGCUUGGAUGGGUCUGUCUGUUCCAGUAAUGUUUGCUUCUGAGGGAACCUGCUAAACAGUAAUAAGUAACACAGAGGAUUUGUAUAAGAAAGGGCGGAGCAGACUCUUUUUUAUCUUAGGAGAUAUCACUCCUUUAAUGUAAGCAGUGACAUCCCUUACAUGUUCUGUAACUUUAUGAUGGCCAGUGUGAUUUUCUACACUGCUGUGUGCCUGGCUGGCAACAUAAUUUCAACAGAGUCCCGACAACUGAUGAAGUAAGCAGGCUGACACUGUGAAGUAGUAAUGAACACGCACUUCAGACGUCCUCUCUGGACAACACCGCCAGCCUUCCAAACACUCAGGCAUCCUGCCAACAUUGCCAGUGUGAAAAGGCGCUAUAUAGGCGCCCAACCUGACACAGACUGGACACAGAGGCACACGUAAAAUAAAUAAACUAU
This is a long non-coding RNA of Polypterus senegalus (gray bichir), 1936 nucleotides long. RefSeq lists it as uncharacterized. The transcript has 3 exons. Lineage: Eukaryota; Metazoa; Chordata; Cladistia; Polypteriformes; Polypteridae. The record is from RefSeq and is a predicted model, not a curated record.